AACGAACGCUGGCGGCAGGCUUAACACAUGCAAGUCGAAUGCCCCGCAAGGGGAGUGGCAGACGGGUGAGUAACGCGUGGGAAUCUACCCAUCCCUACGGAACAACUCCGGGAAACUGGAGCUAAUACCGUAUACGCCCUACGGGGGAAAGAUUUAUCAGGGGAUGGAUGAGCCCGCGUUGGAUUAGCUAGUUGGUGGGGUAAAGGCCUACCAAGGCGACGAUCCAUAGCUGGUCUGAGAGGAUGAUCAGCCACAUUGGGACUGAGACACGGCCCAAACUCCUACGGGAGGCAGCAGUGGGGAAUAUUGGACAAUGGGCGCAAGCCUGAUCUAGCCAUGCCGCGUGAGUGAUGAAGGUCUUAGGAUUGUAAAGCUCUUUCACCGAUGAAGAUAAUGACGGUAGUCGGAGAAGAAGCCCCGGCUAACUUCGUGCCAGCAGCCGCCGUAA
This 448-nucleotide ribosomal RNA is filed under the name uncultured bacterium. RNAcentral describes it as "partial 16S ribosomal RNA". It matches the Rfam family "Bacterial small subunit ribosomal RNA", at positions 29 to 523 of the family's 1533-position model. The record is from RNAcentral.